This is a non-coding RNA of Danio rerio (zebrafish), 1035 nucleotides long. NCBI's taxonomy places the organism in Eukaryota, Metazoa, Chordata, Actinopteri, Cypriniformes, Danionidae. The record is from RefSeq and is a predicted model, not a curated record.
CCCAUGUUUAUAUGUUAAAUUGCACUUGUCUCUCUCUCUAUCUCUGUUAACACAUUUAUAUUUGUUUGAUUAAUUCUUGUGUCUUUCAGCCUGUUUCUGCCUAUCAUCAUGAGUGAUUCCUCAAUACUCAGAUUUAUCAUCAAGAUCUCAAUUAUAAGCUCAAGUUUUGAUGACAACUUGGUGAUCUGCAGAAAGCACCACCAUGUAAGGAAGGCCAAGACCACUCUGGAAUCAGUCAAGGUUGAAAUGGAGUGAGGCAUACCAGGAUAUGCCUGGUUUUACUUUUGGGAAGGAGGUUGAACAGUGCAAUAUUUCUUCUAUAGGAUUGCAGUGACCAGACAUGCUACUGUAACUCUCAUGGUCAUGUGCUGGAAUUAGCAGAUAUUCAACAAUUUGGCCAUCUCGCUGACCUGUUGAUAUCAGAAGACCGCAACAGCUCUGCAAAGCAAGUUGGAAAACAGAAUCCAUGAAACUGGCAGUGACUGGAAACCAGUUGGAAGACUUUGGUCUGUGAUGUAGAGGAGUGGGCAGACGGUGAGGAAAUUCUUAUUAAUAUUAAAUGUAGUCAUGAAAAAUUGUGUUACUAUUACUGUCAUUUUUUUUUCAGUAGCAGAAGCAAAGACAACAAAAAGAAGAAGUGAUGUGGAUGUCUUCGUCAUAUUGCAUGACUCUGCUGACCCAGCAACAAAGAGGAGGGUGUUCAACAUCAUCCUGCUAGUCAGGAUUCUUCAGGAGAAGCAGUGGAUUCUUGUGGCAGAGAUGGCCAACCACUAUAAAUACCUUUCAACUCAUCCUGGUUCUUUCAAAUAACUUUCCUGCUUGUUUGCUACUGAAAAGUACUGAUUCGACAUGUGGCCUUAACGAAGAGGGGUUAAAAGGUCUAUGGAUCAUCAUUCUCAAAAAGCAACAAAAUAACUGAGAAAUAAACAACAAUACGAUGGUGCAAUCUAGAGACCUGCAAGGUACCUGCAAGUUUUGGAUGGAGCAGAGAACAUAGAUUUUUUUUAAAUAAAGCUCCAGCUGAUGAGUAUGACA